GGAAAGUUGAAUCAAAGAAGGUAAUAAUCCUGUAGUCGAAAAUAUAUACUCUCUUGAGUGGAUCCUGAGUACGACGGAGCACGUGAAAUUCCGUCGGAAUCUGGGAGGACCAUCUCCUAAGGCUAAAUACUCUCUAGUGACCGAUAGUGAACCAGUACCGUGAGGGAAAGGUGAAAAGUACCCCGGAAGGGGAGUGAAAGAGAACUUGAAACCGUGUGCUUACAAGUAGUCAGAGCCCGUUAAUGGGUGAUGGCGUGCCUUUUGUAGAAUGAACCGGCGAGUUACGAUUUGAUGCAAGGUUAAGCAGCUAAUGUGGAGCCGUAGCGAAAGCGAGUCUGAAUAGGGCGUUUAGUAUUUGGUCGUAGACCCGAAACCAGGUGAUCUACCCUUGGUCAGGUUGAAGUUCAGGUAACACUGAAUGGAGGACCGAACCGACUUACGUUGAAAAGUGAGCGGAUGAACUGAGGGUAGCGGAGAAAUUCCAAUCGAACUUGGAGAUAGCUGGUUCUCUCCGAAAUAGCUUUAGGGCUAGCCUCAAGUGAUGAUUAUUGGAGGUAGAGCACUGUUUGGACGAGGGGCCCUUCUCGGGUUACCGAAUUCAGACAAACUCCGAAUGCCAAUUAAUUUAACUUGGGAGUCAGAACAUGGGUGAUAAGGUCCGUGUUCGAAAGGGAAACAGCCCAGACCACCAGCUAAGGUCCCAAAAUAUAUGUUAAGUGGAAAAGGAUGUGGCGUUGCCCAGACAACUAGGAUGUUGGCUUAGAAGCAGCCAUCAUUUAAAGAGUGCGUAAUAGCUCACUAGUCGAGUGACACUGCGCCGAAAAUGUACCGGGGCUAAACAUAUUACCGAAGCUGUGGAUUGUCCGUAGGACAAUGGUAGGAGAGCGUUCUAAGGGCGUCGAAGCAUGAUCGCAAGGACAUGUGGAGCGCUUAGAAGUGAGAAUGCCGGUGUGAGUAGCGAAAGACGGGUGAGAAUCCCGUCCACCGAUUGACUAAGGUUUCCAGAGGAAGGCUCGUCCGCUCUGGGUUAGUCGGGUCCUAAGCUGAGGCCGACAGGCGUAGGCGAUGGAUAACAGGUUGAUAUUCCUGUACCACCUAGUAUCGUUUUAAUCGAUGGGGGGACGCAGUAGGAUAGGCGAAGCGUGCUAUUGGAUUGCACGUCCAAGCAGUAAGACUGAGUGUUAGGCAAAUCCGGCACUCAUAAGGUCAAGCUGUGAUGGGGAGAGGAAAUUGUUUCCUCGAGUCGUUGAUUUCACACUGCCAAGAAAAGCCUCUAGAUAGAUAACAGGUGCCCGUACCGCAAACCGACACAGGUAGUCAAGAUGAGAAUUCUAAGGUGAGCGAGCGAACUCUCGUUAAGGAACUCGGCAAAAUGACCCCGUAACUUCGGGAGAAGGGGUGCUCUUUAGGGUUAACGCCCAGAAGAGCCGCAGUGAAUAGGCCCAAGCGACUGUUUAUCAAAAACACAGGUCUCUGCUAAACCGUAAGGUGAUGUAUAGGGGCUGACGCCUGCCCGGUGCUGGAAGGUUAAGAGGAGUAGUUAGCUUCUGCGAAGCUACGAAUCGAAGCCCCAGUAAACGGCGGCCGUAACUAUAACGGUCCUAAGGUAGCGAAAUUCCUUGUCGGGUAAGUUCCGACCCGCACGAAAGGCGUAACGAUUUGGGCACUGUCUCAACGAGAGACUCGGUGAAAUCAUAGUACCUGUGAAGAUGCAGGUUACCCGCGACAGGACGGAAAGACCCCGUGGAGCUUUACUGUAGCCUGAUAUUGAAAUUCGGCACAGCUUGUACAGGAUAGGUAGGAGCCUUUGAAACGUGAGCGCUAGCUUACGUGGAGGCAUUGGUGGGAUACUACCCUAGCUGUGUUGGCUUUCUAACCCGCACCACUUAUCGUGGUGGGAGACAGUGUCAGGUGGGCAGUUUGACUGGGGCGGUCGCCUCCUAAAAGGUAACGGAGGCGCUCAAAGGUUCCCUCAGAAUGGUUGGAAAUCAUUCAUAGAGUGUAAAGGCAUAAGGGAGCUUGACUGCGAGACUUACAAGUCGAGCAGGGUCGAAAGACGGACUUAGUGAUCCGGUGGUUCCGCAUGGAAGGGCCAUCGCUCAACGGAUAAAAGCUACCCCGGGGAUAACAGGCUUAUCUCCCCCAAGAGUUCACAUCGACGGGGAGGUUUGGCACCUCGAUGUCGGCUCAUCGCAUCCUGGGGCUGUAGUCGGUCCCAAGGGUUGGGCUGUUCGCCCAUUAAAGCGGUACGCGAGCUGGGUUCAGAACGUCGUGAGACAGUUCGGUCCCUAUCCGUCGUGGGCGUAGGAAAUUUGAGAGGAGCUGUCCUUAGUACGAGAGGACCGGGAUGGACAUACCUCUGGUGUACCAGUUGUCGUGCCAACGGCAUAGCUGGGUAGCUAUGUAUGGACGGGAUAAGUGCUGAAAGCAUCUAAGCAUGAAGCCCCCCUCAAGAUGAGAUUUCCCAACUUC
RNAcentral lists this ribosomal RNA (2472 nucleotides) under Acinetobacter baumannii EGD-HP18. RNAcentral's name for it is "bacterial LSU rRNA". It matches the Rfam family "Bacterial large subunit ribosomal RNA", at positions 344 to 2821 of the family's 2925-position model. Lineage: Bacteria; Pseudomonadati; Pseudomonadota; Gammaproteobacteria; Moraxellales; Moraxellaceae. The record is from RNAcentral.